GACGAACGCUGGCGGCGUGCUUAACACAUGCAAGUCGAACGGAGGAUUCAUUUUCCCGAAGUUUUCGGAUGGAGGGAGCGGAUCCUUAGUGGCGGACGGGUGAGUAACGCGUGAGCAACCUGUCCUGCAGAGGGGGACAACAACGGGAAACCGUUGCUAAUACCGCAUGAGACCACGGCCUCGCAUGGGGCCGGGGUAAAAGGAGAAAUCCGCUGCAGGAGGGGCUCGCGUCCCAUUAGAUAGUUGGCGGGGUAAAGGCCCACCAAGUCAGCGAUGGGUAGCCGGACUGAGAGGUUGAACGGCCACACUGGGACUGAGACACGGCCCAGACUCCUACGGGAGGCAGCAGUGGGGAAUAUUGGGCAAUGGGCGCAAGCCUGACCCAGCAACGCCGCGUGAAGGAAGAAGGUCUUCGGAUUGUAAACUUCUGUCAUUGGGGACGAAGGAAGUGACGGUACCCAAUGAGGAAGCCCCGGCUAACUACGUG
This 487-nucleotide ribosomal RNA is filed under the name uncultured bacterium. RNAcentral's name for it is "bacterial SSU rRNA". It matches the Rfam family "Bacterial small subunit ribosomal RNA", at positions 28 to 507 of the family's 1533-position model. The record is from RNAcentral.